CCAGCUCCAAUAGCGUAUACUAAAGUUGUUGCAGUUAAAAAGCUCGUAGUUGAAUUUCUGACUUUGAGGCGCGACCGACCCCGUGUGGGUCUGUGUCUGCGAAUUGAGGUCAUCCUCGGGGAAUGCGUAUCUGUCAUUAACUUGAUGGGUACGAGUACCCCGUCAUUUACUGUGAGCAAAAUAGAGUGUUCAAAGCAGGCUUACGCCGUUGAAUACAUUAGCAUGGAAUAAUAAGAUAGGACCUUGGUCUAUUUUGUUGGUUAGUACUCCAAGGUAAUGAUUAAUAGGGACAGUUGGGGGUAUUCGUAUUCAAUUGUCAGAGGUGAAAUUCUUGGAUUUAUGGAAGACGAACUACUGCGAAAGCAUUUACCAAGGAUGUUUUCA
This 384-nucleotide ribosomal RNA is filed under the name uncultured Spumella. RNAcentral describes it as "SSU rRNA". It matches the Rfam family "Eukaryotic small subunit ribosomal RNA", at positions 585 to 972 of the family's 1831-position model. The record is from RNAcentral. Lineage: Eukaryota; Synurophyceae; Ochromonadales; Ochromonadaceae.